UGAAUUGACGGGCCCCGCACAAGCAGCGGAGCGUGUGGUUUAAUUCGAUGCUACACGAAGAACCUUACCAGGGUUUGACAUACAAGUAGUAGGGAAAGGAAACUGGACCGACCCUUCGGGGAGCUUGUACAGGUGCUGCAUGGCUGUCGUCAGCUCGUGUCGUGAGAUGUUCGGUUAAGUCCGCUAACGAGUGCAACCCUCGCUGUGUGUUACAAGUGUCACACGGAACUGCCGGUCAUAAACCGGAGGAAGGUGGGAUGACGUCAAGUCAGCAUGGCCUUCAUAUCCUGGGCUACACACACGCUACAAUGGGAAAGGACAAUAGGUAGCGAAACCGCGAGGUGGAGCCAAUCCAGCAAAAUUUCCCUCAGUUCAGAUUGCAGGCUGCAACUCGCCUGCAUGAAGUUGGAGUUGCUAGUAAACGCAGGUCAGCCAUACUGCGUUGAAUACGUUCCCGGGGCUU
Molecule: ribosomal RNA, 463 nt
Filed under: uncultured Anaerolineaceae bacterium
Lineage: Bacteria; Bacillati; Chloroflexota; Anaerolineae; Anaerolineales; Anaerolineaceae
Description: bacterial SSU rRNA
Rfam family: Bacterial small subunit ribosomal RNA
Source: RNAcentral